RNAcentral lists this ribosomal RNA (292 nucleotides) under uncultured bacterium. RNAcentral's name for it is "partial 16S ribosomal RNA". It matches the Rfam family "Bacterial small subunit ribosomal RNA", at positions 505 to 796 of the family's 1533-position model. The record is from RNAcentral.
GUGUCAGCAGCCGCGGUAAUACGGAGGAUGCGAGCGUUAUCCGGAUUUAUUGGGUUUAAAGGGUGCGUAGGCGGAAAAAUAAGUCAGUGGUGAAAACCUGCAGCUUAACUGUGGAACUGCCAUUGAUACUGUUAUUCUUGAGUAUGGUCAAGGUAGGCGGAAUGUGUAAUGUAGCGGUGAAAUGCUUAGAUAUUACACAGAACACCGAUUGCGAAGGCAGCUUACUGGACCAAAACUGACGCUGAUGCACGAAAGCGUGGGGAUCGAACAGGAUUAGAUACCCUAGUAGUCC